CCCUUGGUAGUCUAGUUGGUUAUGGCGUUCGGCUGUAAUUGUAAAUCAAAUCAUGAUUGUUACCGAAAAGUCGCUGGUUCGAUUCCGGCCCGAGGGA
Non-coding RNA from Hypoxylon trugodes, 97 nucleotides. The record is from the annotation of a RefSeq genome assembly. NCBI's taxonomy places the organism in Eukaryota, Fungi, Ascomycota, Sordariomycetes, Xylariales, Hypoxylaceae.